GGAGGAUGCAGGAGCAGGAGCCGGGAGGGGAGGGAGCAGCUGGCACCGCGCACGUGGGUACCUGUGGCUCGCCCCUCCUCAGCUGCCGCCCGGGGAAAACGCUCUCCAGUGCACUCACCAUUUAUCCGAGGGCUCCAGAGCUGCCUGCGAUGGAUUAAUACAGAAUCACACACAGGAAACUUCACUGGCUGCAACAAAAAUGUUCCAGCUUCUUGACACUCCCAGCAACAACAAACCAUCAGUUUGAAUGAUGCCACAACAACAGGGCCAACACAGAGAC
Pipra filicauda (Wire-tailed manakin) is the source of this 280-nucleotide long non-coding RNA. RefSeq lists it as uncharacterized. The transcript is spliced from 3 exons. The record is from RefSeq and is a predicted model, not a curated record. Lineage: Eukaryota; Metazoa; Chordata; Aves; Passeriformes; Pipridae.